RNAcentral lists this microRNA precursor (78 nucleotides) under Echinops telfairi (small Madagascar hedgehog). RNAcentral describes it as "miRNA (ENSETEG00000023676.1)". The record is from RNAcentral. Lineage: Eukaryota; Metazoa; Chordata; Mammalia; Afrosoricida; Tenrecidae.
UGUGUGUGUAUGUAUGUGUGCAUGUGCAUGCAUGCAUGACAAAGGUUAUCUCAUACAUGAGUACUUACCUUUGAAGCA